AGUGCAUAUAAACUUAGCAUUAUGCUUGUACAACAUAAAUGGAAAGAAAAUUGAAAAGAAAAGAAAAUGAACAAUUAGGGUUCAAAAAUAACUAACUACACAUUCUUCAAUUCAUCAUCAUCAUUACCAAUUACUAUGGGUUCGGGAGAAGGAAGUAAGGUCCAUUGGAGCGUCUUCGACGGCGUUAAGAUAAUCGCUGCGACACCGGAGGCUCUAAUGUCAGAGAUCGACUCUGCAAUUUCAAAUCUCGAAUACUCACGCGCCACCGCUUUCCUCGAAUCCAAAGGCAUACACGACGCACGUACGGCUGAUGAAUCGUAUAGGGCGGGUUGCGCCGCUUUGGCCGCCGGUAAAUUAGAUGAAGCUCGACGUUGUUUCAAUGUUUCUCUGUCGAAAUGUCCGCCUGAUAAGACUGCAGCUGUUGCUAAACUUCAAUCUUUGAUUUCUCUCACUUCUCAACAUCUUCAAUCAUCAUCAUCUUCAAAUUAAUUAAGAUGUGCAACUGCUAACGAUUUGUGGUGCGAACUCCUUCGUGGUAAUUAUAGCUGCCAGGUUGCUCAUGGAUACAUUGAGACAAAGGUUUCAAAUUCUAGUCUAUGGAAAAAUAUAGUUCAGCUUAGUCCAAAGUUGAAUUAUUAUUGUUUUUGGGUUGUUGGUAAUGGGCGUAGUAUUGAAGCUUGGUAGAACGUGUGGAUUCAAGUGGGACUGCGUGUUGAAGACCUUUUGAUGUUCAUAUACCUGACGACAUUAAAGAUGUUAAGGUCUGUGAUUUAGUAGAUAUUCAUAGUGAUUGGAACUGGAGCUUGCUUCCCCACCCGAACUUAAACUCAAUUUAAUUGGGUUUGAGUUUGGGUUCGGGUGGCACCUGAAUAUAUGGGCGUGAAUUUGGGUAGUAUCAAACUCGCACCCAUGGACACCCAUUACCAUCCCUGGUUUUGACUUUUGAGUGGUUGUAAGUGUAAACAUAAACAAAACCAUAAAUUGCCGUAGAAUACACUAAUCGAAAAUUUAUUUACGGCUUGUGUAAGAAGUAUAUUCUUGUGUGUUUUAUGUGUUAGAGUGCAGAUAUGUUUAUGUUUUAGACAAUGUAUUUUUCUUUUGGAAAUGAAUUCUCUAAAACAACUCAAAUUUUUUUGCAUAUAACAAAUGGAUAUGCAGGAGGGAAAAACCUUUCCACAUAUUUCAUGUUAUGUUUAAAGGUAUAAGGUCCCAAGAAUGCUUGAGAAGUGGUUUCUAAGGGAAAGGGAAUUAAAAUCGCUGCUAUAUUGCCUCCAUCUGAUACGCGGCAAUUAGGAGCAGGAGCUGGUAGUAGCAGACAUUCUGUUACUGAGAUGUAUAACAUUAUUUGUGGCUUUGAUGAUGCUAAUAUUGAUGUCAAGUAGAAGUAUAUUUGGAAUUUAAAUGUUACAGAACGUAUCAAGUAUUUUCUAUGGAUGGCUCUUCAUGAAAGAUUACUCACAAAUAUAUUUUGAAUUUAAACGUUACAGAACGUAUCAAGUAUUUUCUAUGGAUGGCUCUUCAUGAAAGAUUACUCACAAAUAUAUUUUGAAUUUAAAUGUUACAGAACGUAUCAAGUAUUUUCUAUGGAUGGCUCUUCAUGAAAGAUUACUCACAAAUAGUGUUAAGGCUAAGAUGAGGUUAUGUCCUGCAAUGUGCAACUAUAGUGCCAUCGGAAGCUUGCGGCUUAUUUUUCAGUGGAAAUAUUUCUCAUUGGAUGCAAUAUAACUUGAGGAGUGAUAUUAAAGGAAUUAGUGGAGCCCGUUGGGAGGACUUUUGGGCAACGGCUUGUCAUUGUUUGUGGCGCAAGCUGAGUUCAGUCGACCGGUGCAACCUGUGUUGCAAAUUAUGUAGCGUACCAGUGAUUAUUAUCACGUGUGCAAGUCUAGUCGAACUGUUACAAUGACAACAAAAGCAGUCAGGUGGGUUGGUUGGCAGCCACCGAAGGAGGGUCGGGUGGAGGUGAAUACAAAUGGGGUGAGUAAAGAUGAGGGAAUAGAGGCUGUGGUGGACUUAUUAAAGAUAAUUGAUGAGUUCUUGCAGAGACAGAGACUAGUGAGUUUGAAUAGCAGAAGCACUGAUGGAUCUCACUCGCAGGGCAUUGCUAUGGAGCGAGGAGAUGGGAAAGUGCACAAGUAUUCUAUUGCUUAUUUAUCAAGUUUUACAUGGCCAUCUUGGUUAUUAUGCAGAAGUAUAUGCUAUAUAUGUCCAUUGUGAACUUGAUUGGAAUCUUAAUUAUCUGAAUUGAUGUUAGAACAGUGUUAUCAAUUGCAGAUAGUGAGAAAUAGCGGUUUGUUUAAAUUCUGCAACCCAACAUUGUUAAACGCUGCUAUAACCGCUCUAUGACAACAUUUUGUACUAAAUAUCAUUAUUGUGGAAAAUAACGAUUUGUUAUUUCAGACAUUCAGUUAUUGAGAAUUUUUUGUUUCACAUUUCCUGGAAUAUCAAAUUUAAC
Trifolium pratense (red clover) is the source of this 2452-nucleotide long non-coding RNA. RefSeq lists it as uncharacterized. Lineage: Eukaryota; Viridiplantae; Streptophyta; Magnoliopsida; Fabales; Fabaceae. The record is from RefSeq and is a predicted model, not a curated record. The transcript has 3 exons.